RNAcentral lists this long non-coding RNA (2188 nucleotides) under Equus caballus (horse). RNAcentral's name for it is "lncRNA (ENSECAG00000039793.2)". Lineage: Eukaryota; Metazoa; Chordata; Mammalia; Perissodactyla; Equidae. The record is from RNAcentral.
UGGUGUCCCACAUACAAAAUAGGAGAAGAUGAGCACUGAUGUUAGCUCAGGGCCAAUCUUCCUCACCAAAAAAAAGAAAAAAGAAAAAGAAUGGCCCUUUGAAGUGGAUGAUCAGGUGUUCAUAUCAGGUUUGCUCAAAGGCAAGACACCUAUAUGACAGGAAGAUGGUCCCAUGACUUCAUAACUAGAUAUAUACAUACAUAUAUGUGCGCAUUCAUUCAGGUAUGUGCAUACGUGUGUAUUUUUUUCUUCUCACAAUUUUGAUCAAGAAAUAACAGGUUCUUCACCACACAAAAAUUCAGAUACCACUUGUGGUCUGAGGCUCUACAGAGCAGUGGCCCUGUCCCCAUAACAACUCCUGAGACCCAUCCUUGAUGGACUUCCUGAGUGUUUCAGGCUUUGCGCAGGAGCUCACUAAGAGCUCUGAGCAGCCAGUUCUUGCUGCCAAAAUUCAGCUGUGGAAGAAAACCACAUAAUUUCCCCACAGGCUACAGGAGGUUGUGAAACCGGUAUUUGGUGUGCCUCUCUGCCAGCAGGUGGCCACUCUGACUUCACACAACCAUGACCGAAAUGUGGUCAAGGUCUUGGCGGCAGGCCCCAUGGGAACUGCUCAUACGUGGAGGGGCAGGAUACGGAGUCUUCUGCUCCCGGAUGAGACCCCCCCCCCCCAGAGGUGCAAAGGAAAGUGUGGCUGCCUGGGUGGGAUCCUGAGCAAACCACCUUAUUCCUUUUUAUUUAACUCUCAGCAAAAUCAGACCCUAAACUCUCAGGAAGCUAGAGGCAUAGGUGAUAUUUCAACUAAUGAUCAUAUUCUUAUCUUCCUCCAGAUGGCCAGGGGAGAAGACCUCAGGAUGGACGUCCAUUCGUGGAGGGGGCUCCCGUAGCAGACAGGGGAAGUUGCCACACAAUCUGAUGCCAGUUCUUCUCGGGACCCACCCACCACCUCUCAUUGCUCCAGCCCCGGUAACCAGUUGAGACCUACAGAGCCCAGGUGACAAGGCAUCAGAGUUCUCUGGGGGAGAUGGCACACACAGGGAGGGAACCCCAGCUCCGCUCCAGCCUGCACCAGCAGGGGCCUGGGACAAGCAUGGGAGUAGAACCUAAGAGUACUGGACCAAAUGGGAUGGAAUAACUCUUGAUGAGGCUGAAAUCUUUGACACAGAUGCCCUCACCCGGGAUUUACUUGUUGGCUCAAGCCCUGAGAGUGUGGUUAAUAAUCUUCCAGGUUGACUAAUUGAAGCCUGAACAAGGAUGGUUUGGAAUUAAUGAGGUCAAAACUGCUUGAAAUCUCUGGCCUGCUGUACAGGAUGGAGGUCAAAGGCUCAGGGAAAUAGAACUGGAGAAAUGGAUCAAUUGUUUGCAGCUGACUCAGGCACUCCCUAAUCAUAGGCAAUCCCUCUCUCCUGAGGGGGCCCGGAGGGCCCUGACAAUUGCACGGGUGAGUUGGUCAACAGCUCUCGGGGCUGUCCUCCGCAGGCUGGAGGUCACGCUGGGGAGCACAGCACAGACACCAAAUUCCCCAUCUCAGCAGGAAUGAUGGGAGCCCAGAGUGGGGUGGGAGCAGCCAUCAGCCACCAGGGCCAGGGGCAGCCUGAGGCCUCAGGAAGGCACACAGAAUGCCCAGCAGUAGUAUCUGGACCCACCGGCAUCUGUGUUGCUGGCUCCUUGCUCAUGGGGUCCCUGGACUUGAAAGAGAUGCCUGCUAAGGGCUGCUCGACAUUUGUAGGUAUGAAAAUCCCAGGUCUGCUAAGAGAAACUACCUCGUGGCUGCUCCCCAGUCCCCAGACCUAAGCCACUUCCCACCCCAGUGCACACCUUUCUGGACAAUUCCUUUAUUAAGUACUCCCUUGAAUGACCCAAGUUGAAGAAUGCCGCCUGUUUCCUGCUGGGAUCCCCAUCUGAGAGGGCAAUGCCUUCACGGGCCUUUCAUGUCGCUGGGUGUGAUGGUCAUUACGGACGCAAUUAUCAAAAUCAAUACAUCAGGGGGUUCUCCUCCCCAGAGACGGGUGGGACAAGGAAAAGUCACCCAGAGAGAAUCCAGUUACAACAGAAACCAAAGUUCAAAGGAAAUAGUGAGAAAUAGGGUUUGAUUUAGACUCUGUCUUGAUAAAUUAAACUGAAAAUUAUGGACAUGGGUUAGUUUUACCUUGGAUUUACCAAAAGGUAAAUUUAUGCAAAAUUGCAGCUU